UACAGAGGUCCCAAGCGUUGUUCGGAUUCACUGGGCGUAAAGGGUGCGUAGGUGGCAGGGUAAGUUUGAUGUGAAAUCUCCGAGCUUAACUCGGAAACUGCAUUCGAUACUGCCGUGCUUGAGGACUGGAGAGGAGACUGGAAUUUACGGUGUAGCGGUGAAAUGCGUAGAUAUCGUAAGGAAGACCAGUGGCGAAGGCGGGUCUCUGGACAGUUCCUGACGCUGAGGCACGAAGGCCAGGGGAGCAAACGGG
This 253-nucleotide ribosomal RNA is filed under the name uncultured bacterium. Its description in RNAcentral is "partial 16S ribosomal RNA". It matches the Rfam family "Bacterial small subunit ribosomal RNA", at positions 524 to 776 of the family's 1533-position model. The record is from RNAcentral.